This 449-nucleotide ribosomal RNA is filed under the name uncultured bacterium. RNAcentral's name for it is "bacterial SSU rRNA". It matches the Rfam family "Bacterial small subunit ribosomal RNA", at positions 1091 to 1533 of the family's 1533-position model. The record is from RNAcentral.
AACGAGCGCAACCCUUGAUCUUAGUUGCCAUCAUUAAGUUGGGCACUCUAAGGUGACUGCCGGUGACAAACCGGAGGAAGGUGGGGAUGACGUCAAAUCAUCAUGCCCCUUAUGACCUGGGCUACACACGUGCUACAAUGGACGGUACAAAGAGCUGCAAGACCGCGAGGUGGAGCUAAUCUCAUAAAACCGUUCUCAGUUCGGAUUGUAGGCUGCAAACUCGCCUACAUGAAGCUGGAAUCGCUAGUAAUCGCGGAUCAGCAUGCCGCGGUGAAUACGUUCCCGGGCCUUGUACACACCGCCCGUCACACCACGAGAGUUUGUAACACCCGAAGUCGGUGGGGUAACCUUUUUGGAGCCAGCCGCCUAAGGUGGGACAGAUGAUUGGGGUGAAGUCGUAACAAGGUAGCCAANUAUCGGANGGUGCGGCUGGAUCACCUCCUUAAUCU